GGGAUGGACGUACCUCUGGUGUGCCAGUUGUUCUGCCAAGAGCACGGCUGGUUGGCUACGUACGGAACGGAUAAGCGCUGAAGGCAUCUAAGCGCGAAGCCGGCCUCGAGAUGAGAACUCCCACCGGUAAAACGGUUAAGGCCCCUGGCAGAACACCAGGUUGAUAGGCCGGACGUGGAAGUGGAGUAAUCCAUGAAGCUGACCGGUACUAAUAGGCCGAGGACUUGGUCUG
This 232-nucleotide ribosomal RNA is filed under the name Acidimicrobiia bacterium. Its description in RNAcentral is "partial 23S ribosomal RNA". It matches the Rfam family "Bacterial large subunit ribosomal RNA", at positions 2694 to 2925 of the family's 2925-position model. The record is from RNAcentral. Lineage: Bacteria; Bacillati; Actinomycetota; Acidimicrobiia.